GGGGACGUAGCUCAUUUGGUAGAGCGCAGCGUUCGCAAUGCUGAGGUCGUGGGUUCGACUCCCAUCGUCUCCA
This 73-nucleotide transfer RNA is filed under the name Planctomycetota bacterium. Its description in RNAcentral is "tRNA-Ala". It matches the Rfam family "tRNA". From Rfam's summary of the family: Transfer RNA (tRNA) molecules are approximately 80 nucleotides in length. Their secondary structure includes four short double-helical elements and three loops (D, anti-codon, and T loops). The record is from RNAcentral. Lineage: Bacteria; Pseudomonadati; Planctomycetota.